Molecule: ribosomal RNA, 253 nt
Filed under: uncultured bacterium
Lineage: Bacteria
Description: partial 16S ribosomal RNA
Rfam family: Bacterial small subunit ribosomal RNA
Source: RNAcentral
CACGUAGGAUCCGAGCGUUAUCCGAAUUUACUGGGCGUAAAGAGCGUGCAGGUGGUUUGAUAAGUUGGAUGUAAAAGCUCCUGGCUCAACUGGGAGACGCCGUUCAAAACUAUCAGACUUGAGGACGGUAGAGGGAGGUGGAAUUCCCGGUGUAGUAGUGAAAUGCGUAGAUAUCGGGAGGAACACCAGAGGCGAAGGCGGCCUCCUGGACCGUUUCUGACACUAAGACGCGAAAGCUAGGGGAGCGAAUGGG